GCGCAGGUGGUGGAAUGGUAGACACGCUGGCUUGAGGGGCCAGUGGCCGCAAGGCCGUGAAGGUUCAAGUCCUUUUCUGCGCACCA
This 86-nucleotide transfer RNA is filed under the name Bacteriovoracaceae bacterium. RNAcentral describes it as "tRNA-Leu". It matches the Rfam family "tRNA". Rfam says of the family: Transfer RNA (tRNA) molecules are approximately 80 nucleotides in length. Their secondary structure includes four short double-helical elements and three loops (D, anti-codon, and T loops). Lineage: Bacteria; Pseudomonadati; Bdellovibrionota; Bacteriovoracia; Bacteriovoracales; Bacteriovoracaceae. The record is from RNAcentral. RNAcentral also lists the same sequence under 1 other name.